AGCAGGGGUGACUGCGUACCUUUUGUAUAAUGGGUCAGCGACUUACAUUCAGUGGCGAGGUUAACCGGAUAGGGGGGCCGAAGAGAAAUCGAGUCCGAACAGGGCGAUUUAGUCGCUGGGUGUAGACCCGAAACCAGGUGAUCUACCCAUGGCCAGGAUGAAGAUGCGGUAACACGCAUUGGAGGUCCGAACCCACUAACGUUGCAAAGUUAGGGGAUGAGCUGUGGGUAGGGGUGAAAGGCUAAACAAACCUGGAGAUAGCUGGUUCUCUCCGAAAGCUAUUUAGGUAGUGCCUCAAGAAUCACCACCGGGGGUAGAGCACUGUUAUGGCUAGGGGGUCAUCGCGAUUUACCAAACCAUUGCAAACUCCGAAUACCGGUGAGUGCGAUCUUGGGAGACAGACGUCGGGUGCUAACGUCCGGCGUCGAGAGGGAAACAACCCAGACCGCCAGCUAAGGUCCCAAAGAUUGGCUAAGUGGCAAACGAAGUGGGAAGGCAAAAACAGUCAGGAGGUUGGCUUAGAAGCAGCCACCCUUUAAAGAAAGCGUAAUAGCUCACUGAUCGAGUCGUCCUGCGCGGAAGAUGUAACGGGGCUAAGCCAGUCACCGAAGCUGCGGAUAUCCUUUUAGGAUAUGGUAGGAGAGCGUUCUGUAAGCCGCAGAAGGCGUGUUGAAAAGCAUGCUGGAGGUAUCAGAAGUGCGAAUGCUGACAUGAGUAGCGAUAAUGGAGGUGAAAAGCCUCCACGCCGAAAGCCCAAGGUUUCCUGUCCAACGUUCAUCGGGGCAGGGUGAGUCGGCCCCUAAGGCGAGGCAGAGAUGCGUAGCUGAUGGGAAGCAGGUUAAUAUUCCUGCACCGUCGUUAGAUGCGAUGGGGGGACGGAUCGCGGAAAGUUGUCCGGGUGUUGGAAAUCCCGGUUCUUGAUUUGAAGGAGGCUGUCAGGCAAAUCCGGCAGCGAAAUCCAAGGAAUUGAGACGAGUGGCCAUGUGCCGCGAAGCAAUUGGAAGUGGUUCCAGGAAAAGCCUCUAAGCUUCAGUCUAACGAGACCGUACCGCAAACCGACACAGGUGGGCGAGAUGAGUAUUCUAAGGCGCUUGAGAGAACUCGGGAGAAGGAACUCGGCAAAUUGGUACCGUAACUUCGGGAAAAGGUACGCCCUUGUAUCUUGAAAGGCCUGCGCCUGUAGGGAGAAGGGGUUGCAAUAAAAAGGUGGCUGCGACUGUUUAAUAAAAACACAGCACUCUGCAAACACGAAAGUGGACGUAUAGGGUGUGACGCCUGCCCGGUGCUGGAAGAUUAAAUGAUGGGGUGAGAGCUCUUGAUUGAAGUCCCAGUAAACGGCGGCCGUAACUAUAACGGUCCUAAGGUAGCGAAAUUCCUUGUCGGGUAAGUUCCGACCUGCACGAAUGGCGUAACGAUGGCCACACUGUC
Molecule: ribosomal RNA, 1428 nt
Filed under: termite gut metagenome
Description: bacterial LSU rRNA
Rfam family: Bacterial large subunit ribosomal RNA
Source: RNAcentral